GACGAACGCUGGCGGCGUGCUUAACACAUGCAAGUCGAGCGAGGCCCCUCCUUCGGGAGGGUGUCCUAGCGGCGAACGGGUGAGUAACACGUGGGCAACCUGCCCUCAGCUCUGGGAUAACUCCGGGAAACCGGGGCUAAUACCGGAUACGACCUCCACGGGCAUCUGCGGAGGUGGAAAGUUUUUCGGCUGAGGCUGGGCCCGCGGCCUAUCAGCUAGUUGGUGGGGUAGUGGCCCACCAAGGCGACGACGGGUAGCCGGCCUGCGAGGGCGACCGGCCACACUGGGACUGAGACACGGCCCAGACUCCUACGGGAGGCAGCAGUGGGGAAUAUUGCGCAAUGGGCGAAAGCCUGACGCAGCGACGCCGCGUGAGGGACGAAGGCCUUCGGGUUGUAAACCGCUUUCAGCAGGGACGAAGCGAAAGUGACGGUACCUGCAGAAGAAGCACCGGCCAACUACGUG
Molecule: ribosomal RNA, 465 nt
Filed under: uncultured bacterium
Lineage: Bacteria
Description: partial 16S ribosomal RNA
Rfam family: Bacterial small subunit ribosomal RNA
Source: RNAcentral